UAAGUAAAAAACUACCCCCGUAAAUUUGCUAAAAAUCGCUAAAUGAUGGGGGCUGACUAUACAACAGUGACAGAAUUCUGUCCAUUUACAGUAAAUAUCAUGAGCAAUAUGAACAUUUAACUAGUGAGAAAACCCAUUAAAUCCUCCUUGUUUUUCAAACUUUGAUUGAGAACCAUCGUCUCUGAUGCUACAAAGUUGACGAGGGUCAGAGGAUCUCUUCAAGCACCAAUUAUCGGGGACAGUCAAGAAAUGUGU
Molecule: unclassified non-coding RNA, 255 nt
Filed under: Hevea brasiliensis (rubber tree)
Lineage: Eukaryota; Viridiplantae; Streptophyta; Magnoliopsida; Malpighiales; Euphorbiaceae
Source: RNAcentral